UACGUAGGGUGCAAGCGUUGUCCGGAAUUAUUGGGCGUAAAGAGCUCGUAGGCGGUUUGUCGCGUCUGCUGUGAAAAUCCAGGGCUUAACCCUGGACCUGCAGUGGGUACGGGCAGACUGGAGUGCGGUAGGGGAGAUCGGAAUUCCUGGUGUAGCGGUGAAAUGCGCAGAUAUCAGGAGGAACACCAGUGGCGAAGGCGACUACCUGGCCUGUUCUUGACGCUGAGGCGCGAAAGCUAGGGGAGCAAACGGG
This 253-nucleotide ribosomal RNA is filed under the name uncultured bacterium. RNAcentral's name for it is "partial 16S ribosomal RNA". It matches the Rfam family "Bacterial small subunit ribosomal RNA", at positions 524 to 776 of the family's 1533-position model. The record is from RNAcentral.